CGAUCCGAGGAGCGCUGCAACCCGCCAGGGCCAGGCUCGGAUCCGCCACAGACGAUGUUUCCAACGGCGCUCACUCGAU
This 79-nucleotide non-coding RNA is filed under the name endosymbiont of unidentified scaly snail isolate Monju. Its description in RNAcentral is "SAH (S-adenosyl-L-homocysteine) riboswitch aptamer". It matches the Rfam family "SAH (S-adenosyl-L-homocysteine) riboswitch aptamer". RNAcentral also lists the same sequence under 1 other name. Lineage: Bacteria; Pseudomonadati; Pseudomonadota; Gammaproteobacteria. The record is from Rfam by way of RNAcentral.